This 882-nucleotide long non-coding RNA is filed under the name Salmo salar (Atlantic salmon). RNAcentral's name for it is "lncRNA (ENSSSAG00000085195.1)". Lineage: Eukaryota; Metazoa; Chordata; Actinopteri; Salmoniformes; Salmonidae. The record is from RNAcentral.
GAACAAAACGCCGCUAUUCGGAUAUAACGAUGGAUUAUUUUGGACCAAACCAACAUUUGUUAUUGAAGUAGCAGUCCUGGGAGUGCAUUCUGACGCAGACAACAAAAGGUAUGAUGGCUUGAGAUUUCAUUGAGGAAGAAAUCAUCAAGCGAUGUGCUGGACCUUAUGUCAGAGAUAUGUUUCUGAGAGCAUGUGAUUUCUUUCAAGACAAUGACCAGGAGACACACUGCCCCCCAGGUUUGCAUUGCAAAUGAGGGGCAUAAACUGGGUCAAGACGCCAGCAGACCUGGUCCAGACCAGACACAGCUGUGUCAAUAUUCAGGCUAAGGGAAGCCAGACUGCUGAGCCCCAAGACACAAGCCUCCAGCCAGAUCACAGGAUUACAUAUACACCCUCAACAAACCCCUCUCUGUUUGUUUGAUAUCCACAGAGAAUGGUCUGUCAUACAAAUAUGUUUGACCAUCAACCUCAGCCUGUCUCUAUGUCUGUCUGUUCUCUGUCAGUCUGUCUCUCUGUCAGUCUGUCUGUCUGUCUGUCUGUCUGUCUGUCUGUCUGUCUGUCUGUCUGUCUGUCUGUCUGUCUGUCUGUCAGCUUGUCUCUCUGUCUAUCUGUUCUCUGUCUGUCUCUCUGUCAGCCUGUCUCUCUGUCUGCCUGUCUUUCUGUCUGUUCUCUGUCAGCUUGUCUCUCUGUCUGUCUGUCAGCCUGUCUCUCUGUCAGCCUGUCUCUCUGCCAGCCUGUCUCUCUGCCAGCCUGUCUCUCUGUCUGUCUGUCUCUCUAUCUGUCUGUCGGUCAGCCUGUCUCUCUGUCAGCCUGUCUCUCUGUCAGCCUGUCUCUCUGCCAGCCUGUCUGUCUGUCUGUCUCUCUGUCUUUCUGUUCUCUGUC